RNAcentral lists this ribosomal RNA (430 nucleotides) under uncultured bacterium. Its description in RNAcentral is "bacterial SSU rRNA". It matches the Rfam family "Bacterial small subunit ribosomal RNA", at positions 29 to 419 of the family's 1533-position model. The record is from RNAcentral.
AACGAACGCUGGCGGCGUGGCUAAGGCAUGCAAGUCGAACGGAAUUAUCUGAGUAGCAAUACAAAGGUAAUUUAGUGGCGGACGGGUGAGUAAUGCAUGGAUAACGUACCCUCGGCACAGGGAUAGCGUCGGGCCCGCAAGGGUCCUUUGCGAAAGUGACGGUAAGACCUGAUGAUAUCUCGAGACCUCAUGUUCUUGCGAUCAAAGGGCGGGCUUUACGGUCUGUCGGCCGAUGAGCGGUCCAUGUCCUAUCAGCUUGUUGGUGAGGUAACGGCUCACCAAGGCUUUGACGGGUAGCCGGCGUGAGAGCGCGACCGGCCACAUCGGAACUGAGACACUGUCCGGACACCUACGGGUGGCUGCAGCAACGAAUAUUCCGCAAUGGGCGCAAGCCUGACGGAGCGACGCCGCGUGAAGGAUGAAGUCCUGG